CAGAAUACAGGUCACAAUACGUCUGCAUUCGUCUACCAACCACCUACGACUGACCAGAGGCCAAUAGCAAAUGGCAAUCAUCGUGGCAGGAACAAGAUGGCAGGAAUAAAAAGGAAAGGGGACAGGAAUGGACAUUUUUUCCCUCACAAAAAAAUCACAAAUUAAAACUUGUGUUUCGUUAAGAAUCCUUCCAUCAUCAAAAAUAUACUUCAAACAAAGAAUUUCUUGUAUGGUGUUCUGCUUAACUUUAUAAAAUAUUUUAAGACAAUAAUAACACUUGGAAAAUUGUUUUUCUAUUUAUUUUAAUUAACAAUUUAAAGGACUUUUGUAGAACUUAAUGUCUUAAAUCACUAAUUUUAUAAUCUAAUUGAUAAUGGAAUGAAGAGUAAGUGAGUUUACACAACAGUAAAUUAAUAUAAUCAAUAAUAUAAAAUAAAAUAAUGUUUUAUCUGGGUAGAAUGUAAAAUAUCCCAAUUGUGCUCAUAAUGGAUUAUAAAACAUGACAAUUUUUAUAAACUCUAAUUAUUGUGGUACUUACUCAUCAAUUAAGUAGUAAUAUUCAAAUCUGGAACAUGAUUUUGGUAACAGUCACAUCUCUGAGGAGGAAAUUUGUAAAUAUUUUCCUAUGUUGUAACUAAAGUGGAGACAACAUGUUGUGUAGGUCUGGCGAUGUAUCAGUGUACUGAGUGUGAUAGACGGUACCACCGCCAUGUAGAGAGUCUGUACCGCCACCGCCGCCUGGAGUGUGGAGGGAAGGCACCCCGGUAUGCCUGUACCGUCUGCCCGUACCGGGCACGCCAGAAGAACCACUUGAGGAUCCACGCAGUACGAAGGCAUGGAAUUGACAUCACAACUACAUUGGGAAUGACAUGAUGAUAUAGCUAAUUUGAAGCCUUCGUCAUAUCAACCCGAUCUAAGGCAGGAAGGAGCUGUGCUGGUACGUUGAAUUAUCCAGCAACGUUUCUCCAACAUCAGAUGACACUCAACAUUGGUAUUUUUGUAUAUGGAAUAAAUGUUUCUAUAAAAU
Long non-coding RNA from Homalodisca vitripennis (glassy-winged sharpshooter), 1027 nucleotides. RefSeq lists it as uncharacterized. NCBI's taxonomy places the organism in Eukaryota, Metazoa, Arthropoda, Insecta, Hemiptera, Cicadellidae. The record is from RefSeq and is a predicted model, not a curated record. The transcript is spliced from 2 exons.